This 72-nucleotide transfer RNA is filed under the name Phrynosoma platyrhinos (Desert horned lizard). Its description in RNAcentral is "tRNA-OTHER". The record is from RNAcentral. Lineage: Eukaryota; Metazoa; Chordata; Lepidosauria; Squamata; Phrynosomatidae.
GCCAGGGUGGUGUAGUGGUUUGAGUGCUGGACUACAACUCUGGAGACCAGGGUUUGAUUCCCAGCUCAACCU